GAUGAACGCUGGCGGCGUGCUUAACACAUGCAAGUCGAACGAAGCACCUUGAUUCGAUUCUUCGGAUGAAGAUCUUGGUGACUGAGUGGCGGACGGGUGAGUAACGCGUGGGUAACCUGCCUCAUACAGGGGGAUAACAGUUAGAAAUGACUGCUAAUACCGCAUAAGACCACAGCACCGCAUGGUGCAGGGGUAAAAACUCCGGUGGUAUGAGAUGGACCCGCGUCUGAUUAGGUAGUUGGUGGGGUAACGGCCUACCAAGCCGACGAUCAGUAGCCGAACUGAAAGGGUGACCGGCGACAUUGGGACUGAGACACGGCCCAAACUCCUACGGGAGGCAGCAGUGGGGAAUAUUGCACAAUGGGGGAAACCCUGAUGCAGCGACGCCGCGUGAGCGAUGAAGUAUUUCGGUAUGUAAAGCUCUAUCAGCAGGGAAGAAAAUGACGGUACCUGACUAAGAAGCACCGGCUAAAUACGUG
RNAcentral lists this ribosomal RNA (479 nucleotides) under uncultured bacterium. Its description in RNAcentral is "partial 16S ribosomal RNA". It matches the Rfam family "Bacterial small subunit ribosomal RNA", at positions 28 to 507 of the family's 1533-position model. The record is from RNAcentral.